AAUUUUGAAGGGCCGCAGUAUUUUGACUGUGCAAAGGUAGCAUAAUCAUUUGCCUUUUAAUUAAAGGCUUGUAUGAAUGGUUGAACGAAAUACAAACUGUCUCACUUUAAAAAGUUUAAAAAUUUAGCUUUCAAGUUAAAAGGCUUGAAUAAUAUUAGAGGACGAGAAGACCCUAUAGAACUUUAUAAUAUUUUUUGUGAAUUUAUAUAGUAAAAUAUUUUUAUUUAUAAAUAUUAUUAUUUUGUUGGGGUGACAGGAAAAUAAGCAAAACUUUUUUGAAUUUUGAACAUUGAUUUAUGAAUAUUUGAUCCAUUAUUAGUGAUUAUUAGAAUAAGUUACCUUAGGGAUAACAGCGUAAUUUUGUUGAAGAGUUCAAAUCGAUAACAAAGUUUGCGACCUCGAUGUUGAAUUAAAGAAAUUUUAGAGUGCAGAAGCUUUAAGUAAUAGGUCUGUUCGACCUUUAAAUCUUUACAUGAUCUGAGU
This 483-nucleotide ribosomal RNA is filed under the name Myrmeleon hyalinus. RNAcentral describes it as "partial 16S ribosomal RNA". It matches the Rfam family "Bacterial large subunit ribosomal RNA", at positions 1919 to 2610 of the family's 2925-position model. The record is from RNAcentral. Lineage: Eukaryota; Metazoa; Arthropoda; Insecta; Neuroptera; Myrmeleontidae.